RNAcentral lists this ribosomal RNA (889 nucleotides) under Leptosphaeria yunnanensis. Its description in RNAcentral is "Leptosphaeria sp. YG-2022a partial large subunit ribosomal RNA". It matches the Rfam family "Eukaryotic large subunit ribosomal RNA", at positions 46 to 953 of the family's 3401-position model. The record is from RNAcentral. Lineage: Eukaryota; Fungi; Ascomycota; Dothideomycetes; Pleosporales; Leptosphaeriaceae.
AUAAGCGGAGGAAAAGAAACCAACAGGGAUUGCUCUAGUAACGGCGAGUGAAGCAGCAACAGCUCAAAUUUGAAAUCUGGCUCUUUUAGAGUCCGAGUUGUAAUUUGCAGAGGGCGCUUUGGCGUUGGCAGCGGUCCAAGUUCCUUGGAACAGGACGUCACAGAGGGUGAGAAUCCCGUACGUGGUCGCUGGCCUUCGCCGUGUAAAGCCUCUUCGACGAGUCGAGUUGUUUGGGAAUGCAGCUCUAAAUGGGAGGUAAAUUUCUUCUAAAGCUAAAUACUGGCCAGAGACCGAUAGCGCACAAGUAGAGUGAUCGAAAGAUGAAAAGCACUUUGGAAAGAGAGUCAAAUAGCACGUGAAAUUGUUAAAAGGGAAGCGCUUGCAGCCAGACUUGCCCGUAGUUGCUCAUCCAGGCUUUUGCCUGGUGCACUCUUCUAUGGGCAGGCCAGCAUCAGUUUGGGCGGUUGGAUAAAGGUCUCUGUCAUGUACCUCCUUUCGGGGAGGCCUUAUAGGGGAGACGACAUGCAACCAGCCUGGACUGAGGUCCGCGCAUUCGCUAGGAUGCUGGCGUAAUGGCUGUAAGCGGCCCGUCUUGAAACACGGACCAAGGAGUCUAACAUCUAUGCGAGUGUUUGGGUGUCAAGCCCGAACGCGCAAUGAAAGUGAACGGAGGUGGGAACCCUUAAGGGUGCACCAUCGACCGAUCCUGAUGUCUUCGGAAGGAUUUGAGUAAGAGCAUAGCUGUUGGGACCCGAAAGAUGGUGAACUAUGCUUGAAUAGGGUGAAGCCAGAGGAAACUCUGGUGGAGGCUCGCAGCGGUUCUGACGUGCAAAUCGAUCGUCAAAUUUGGGCAUAGGGGCGAAAGACUAAUCGAACUAUCUAGUAGCUG